This 125-nucleotide small RNA is filed under the name Marmota monax (woodchuck). Lineage: Eukaryota; Metazoa; Chordata; Mammalia; Rodentia; Sciuridae. The record is from RNAcentral.
GCUGGGCGCAGUGGUGCAUGCCUGUAAUCCCAGUGGCUUGGGAGGUUGAGGCAGGAGGAUUAUGAGUUGAAAGCCAGCCUCAGGAAUGACAAGGCACUAAGUAACUCAGUGAAACCCUGUCUCUA